Molecule: long non-coding RNA, 3212 nt
Organism: Pygocentrus nattereri (red-bellied piranha)
Lineage: Eukaryota; Metazoa; Chordata; Actinopteri; Characiformes; Serrasalmidae
Source: Ensembl
AUGGGUUUGGUGGGCUUGUUGGCUCCUCUGGGCCGCUCUGAGGUUCCAGGGCCUGAGGCAAGGCCGGUGGAGAGACCAGCACGACCGGCUGCAGCCAGACACAUCAAGCGUACCAGGGUCCUAAUGUCUGUGAGACCCAGAGACUCCAGUCCAGCUGCUAGACUGCAGCUGGAGCCGCUAAAGGACAAAGAAAUGCAUGAUAAGUAUAAUAUACACCCAUGCAAACAAGGAACACACAUAAAUGUUGUCAAGCUAGACCCACACACACAGCCUCACCUGACUGACAGCAGGGAGAGUGCUCUCAUGACCAUGGUCCUAGCCAGCAGGACCUGCGCGGCUGCUGUAACUCUCCUCAAAGCCACCAGGCGAUCAGCUGAACUCUGCAGCCCUGCUGCCUGCUCCCCCAGAGACAUUCGGCCAGAGGAGCCCUUAUCCACUGAACUUUGGCAGCCUGCAGAAGAGUCUCCUCCAUGCUGUUAGUGGCAGUAACCAUGGCAACAGAUGCACCGAGAGGAUCGGUGUCAGGGAAAUGAACAGGCUCAGGAACAAGUCUGCGUUCGCUGAGUCCCAGUGGUGCAGAGAGCAGCUCAAACUCCUCCUCUCCCGUCAACCGCUCAGUCUCAUCCACAUCUAGCAUGUCCCAGUCCUCUGCAACACAGAACAAACACAUGUGACUGUAUGUGAGGGUGUGCAAGUGUUUUUAUUCCUAAAGAUUCCUCAGAAAAAAUCAACCAAUACCUUCAUAGACACUGUCUUGCUUUCCCAGCAAGUCUGGAGCUUGACCCUUAUACCUGUAUGGAGAAAUAUAUUUAAUACAUAAAGAAAUACAUACAUACAAAAUAAGCAAGCUAGUAAAGUAAAUUAACUAAUAAAUACUAGCUUUAGUUUUUAUCUGCAAAGGUAAGGAAAACAGCACAUACCAUCAAAAUAACUACAACGUGGUAAACAAAGAUACACCGACCUCUCCGGCAAGGCUCCUUUGGUCUUGGUUUUCAUACUGAGGUACUUCUCCCUGCAGUUUCCACAGAGGAGGUAGUAGGGGUUCCCACUCCCGCAUUCGCCCCCAAACCAACCAUCCACAUAGGAGCCGUUACUGCGGUAACCCUGUCGGUUGGCACUGCGCCCACAGCCUGGAUGGCUCUUUUUCAUGUGCUGGUUGAAGCAGGACACAUUUGCCUCACAAAGCUCACACACCACCACCUCCUCACGGUCCUCCGAUUCACACACAUGCUGCGCACAUACACAUCAACAUACACAAACAUGUUCCUGGUCAGACCCAAGACAAAUGGCAGUGGAACUCUUCGAAAGCUGUGAAGCUGCAGCACUGUGUGCAGUGUAAGCAUGUUAGUACUAAAUAAAAAAGAAUUAAGGGUCUUUUCCAUCAAUAAAUCUGUAAAACAUUUUGCUAGUUCACAGCAGCCUGCGCAGCAUGCUCAAAUGCCUAGUGCUUUUGUCAAGUGUGUGUGUUCAGGGUUAAAGUGGUUAAUAUGGAGUAGUAAAGCAGCGGCAGCCCCAGGCUGCGGUCACACACACCCAUGUUGGCCAAUCCAGUACCUCCGGGAUCCACAUUCCCAGUAUGUCCGAGUCGGAGGCCAGCUCCUGGGUGAACAUGGCCUCCAUGGCCUCCUGGUCCAGCUCCAGCUCCAAUUCCUCAUCUAGGUUGAAGUCAUACAGACCUCCCAGAGAGCCAGGGUCUUGUUGCAGGCCAGGGCCCUCCCUCCGUACCUGAGAGCGGUGGGCCUGCACUGAGCGGUAUAGCCCAGCUACAUGUGCACAAACACAUUCAAACAACAACACUGGUUAAAAUGUGCAUGUGCAGGUUAGUUCAGGGCACAGAUGUGAACACAUUAAAGACAGAUAUGAGCUACUUACACAAAUAUGAACAGCCAGAGCACAAAGACCAGAUCAGAAAUAAAUCAAUACGGCUUGUGAUGUGAAUGAAGCAUUAAAGGCUAGGUUUAAGCAUUUGCACUUAGGGCCAGAUAAUAAGGUAAUUAGUGUGUACAGGUGGAGGUUUAAUUCUGUAAAAUAUGUAAGCAUUAAUUAAAAGCAUUAAGAAUACCUGCACGAGCCAAUAAAGUACGUGCCGCAAGGUCAAAGCGAUGCUUCCUACUGGCUGCUGAGCGCCCUCUGGGGGCAUGGCCAGUGGAGGCAGAGGCAGAGUCUUGAUCUAGUCCUUCAGGGCUGAGGACAGAGAAAUUCUACUGUCAGUCUGAGUUACUCAUAUUUCAGCUGGAAUAGUCACAUGAUACAAAAUGAUAAAGGGCUGUCACUUCAUUAAAUCUCAAUGAAUUGGAAAUAACAAUCAACAAAAAUACCAGGGUAAUCAGAUCAUGCUACCUUUCAAAUUGAAGGUUAAACACUUCCCACAGGAGGGAGUUAUUACUACAUAUUCUUUUUUUAAGGGCAUCAUGGAAAAAGAAAACAUAAAGGUGCAACUGCAGGAUGUGUGCAGCCACAAUUAGAAUGUAUAUUAUAAAUAAAUUCCCUAGAUCAUCCUAAACAUCGCCAAUUAAGAAUGCAGCUCUAGACUGAUCAGUCUAAUAAGCUCUAAUACAGUUCCUUUUAUCACAACUUUUAAAUUGAACUAUAAACUGAAAUAUUCAUUGUAAAAGUGCAAUAAAAAGAUAUGUUGUUUAGAUAUCUGCGUUUAGGCAAAAGCAGAAAUAAGUAGUGUAAAAAGAAAAAAACCUGUGUCAGAAAAUUUAUUUGCAUCACUGCUGACACAAAACAACACUGCGAAACCUACAGCGGCUGGAACGAAGAAAACAGCAUUAUAGUAGCAGUGGGAAUCAAAGAAACAGAGUCUGCUUAUUUGACUAAUCAUCAAAACAAUAGUGACAGCCUAAAUUUUGAUCUAUGUUUGCUGUUUCUACCUCUCACUGAACCCUUCCUCCAUCUCGGGGGCGUCAGCACUGGGGAUAUCUCCAGGAGAGCGGAGGUAACUUCUGUCUGCACUCUUGCCUCCAGCUGCUCCUGAGCAGGAGUCAGGAGUGGCAGGAUGGGGCUCCUCUGAAUCUUCAGUGCCAGGGUGCUCAAUCAUCCACAUGGCCAGCACAGUGAUGUUCUGAGCAUCUGCCUCACCCCGUGCACCUGGAAACACACAAAUAAUCACAAUACAUGCACAAUAAACACGUGAAGCCUGAGGGCCAUGAAACUAAACAAUCAGAAUCACUUCUUUAAAUUCUGCACCUAGUAGCAAGUGAUGUAUA